GGAGUUGGCCAGACGGUCGCCGCCGCGCUUGCGCGGGGGAGGAAAGUCCGGGCUCCACAGGGCAGAGUGCCAGGUAACCCCUGGGCGGCGUGAGCCGACGGAAAGUGCAGCAGAGAGUAGACCGCCCCAGCCUUUCGGGGCCGGGGUAAGGGUGAAAGGGUGCGGUAAGAGCGCACCGCGCGGCUGGUAACAGUUCGUGGCAAGGUAAACCCCACUCGGAGCAAGACCAAAUAGGAACCCGAUGGCGUGGCCCGCGCUGGGUUCGGGUAGGUUGCUUGAGCGCUAUGGUGACGUAGCGCCUAGAGGAAUGGCUGUCCACGACAGAACCCGGCUUAUCGGCCGACUCCCCCA
This 351-nucleotide RNase P RNA is filed under the name Halomonas sp. RNAcentral's name for it is "RNase P RNA component class A". It matches the Rfam family "Bacterial RNase P class A". Rfam says of the family: Ribonuclease P (RNase P) is a ubiquitous endoribonuclease, found in archaea, bacteria and eukarya as well as chloroplasts and mitochondria. Its best characterised activity is the generation of mature 5'-ends of tRNAs by cleaving the 5'-leader elements of precursor-tRNAs. The record is from RNAcentral. Lineage: Bacteria; Pseudomonadati; Pseudomonadota; Gammaproteobacteria; Oceanospirillales; Halomonadaceae.